RNAcentral lists this ribosomal RNA (465 nucleotides) under Vreelandella stevensii. RNAcentral's name for it is "partial 16S ribosomal RNA". It matches the Rfam family "Bacterial small subunit ribosomal RNA", at positions 338 to 795 of the family's 1533-position model. Lineage: Bacteria; Pseudomonadati; Pseudomonadota; Gammaproteobacteria; Oceanospirillales; Halomonadaceae. The record is from RNAcentral.
CCUACGGGGGGCAGCAGUGGGGAAUAUUGGACAAUGGGGGGAACCCUGAUCCAGCCAUGCCGCGUGUGUGAAGAAGGCCCUCGGGUUGUAAAGCACUUUCAGUGAGGAAGAACGCCUGGUGGUUAAUACCCAUCAGGAAAGACAUCACUCACAGAAGAAGCACCGGCUAACUCCGUGCCAGCAGCCGCGGUAAUACGGAGGGUGCGAGCGUUAAUCGGAAUUACUGGGCGUAAAGCGCGCGUAGGUGGCUUGAUAAGCCGGUUGUGAAAGCCCCGGGCUCAACCUGGGAACGGCAUCCGGAACUGUCAAGCUAGAGUGCAGGAGAGGAAGGUAGAAUUCCCGGUGUAGCGGUGAAAUGCGUAGAGAUCGGGAGGAAUACCAGUGGCGAAGGCAGCCUUCUGGACUGACACUGACACUGAGGUGCGAAAGCGUGGGUAGCAAACAGGAUUAGAUACCCGGGUAGUC